This 1350-nucleotide ribosomal RNA is filed under the name uncultured marine eukaryote. RNAcentral describes it as "SSU rRNA". It matches the Rfam family "Eukaryotic small subunit ribosomal RNA", at positions 410 to 1775 of the family's 1831-position model. The record is from RNAcentral.
CCAUUUCAAGGAGGGCGCAGGCGCGCAAUUACCCAAUCCUGACUCAGGGAGGUAGUGACAAGAAAUAACAAUAAACCGGCUUAUGCCGGUUUAAUUGGAAUGAGUACAAUUUAAACAUCUUAACGAGGAACAAUUGGAGGGCAAGUCUGGUGCCAGCAGCCGCGGUAAUUCCAGCUCCAAUAGCGUAUACUAAAGUUGUUGCAGUUAAAAAGCUCGUAGUUGGAUUUCUGUGGGGACGGAGCGGCCGGCCGCAACACGCGGUUCGAGCUAGCGCUUUCCCUACAUCCUGCCGCGAACCGUGCUACCAUUAGUUUGGUGGCGCCGGGGAUCGGCUCGAUUACUUUGAGAAAAAUAGAGUGUUCAAAGCAGGCCACACGCCUUGAAUAAGUUAGCAUGGAAUAAUAACUAAGGACUUCGGUUCUAUUUUGUUGGUGUUCGGGACUGAAGUAAUGAUUGAUAGGGACAGUUGGGGCGGUCUGUAUUCCAAAGCGAGAGGUGAAAUUCUUAGACCUUCGGAAGACAAACAGCUGCGAAAGCGUUCCGCAAGGAUGUUCCCUUUGAUCAAGAACGAAAGUUGGGGGAUCGAAGACGAUCAGAUACCGUCGUAGUCUCACCUAUAAACUAUACCAGCUAGGGAUCGGCCAACGUUAUUCUAUACCGACUUGGUCGGCACCUUAUGAGAAAUCAAAGCAUCUGGGUUCCGGGGGGAGUAUGGUCGCAAGGCUGAAACUUAAAGGAAUUGACGGAAGGGCACCACCAGCCGUGGAGCCUGUGGCUUAAUUUGACUCAACACGGGAAAACUUACCAGGUCCAGACAUAGUAAGGAUUGACAGAUUGAUAGCUCUUUCUUGAUUCUGUGGGUGGUGGUGCAUGGCCGUUCUUAGUUGGUGGAGUGAUUUGUCUGGUUAAUUCCGUUAACGAACGAGACCCCAGCCUGCUAAAUAGCGCGCGUGAGCUUUGCUCGCGGCGAGCUUCUUAGAGGGACUAUGAUGCGCGAUAGCACAUGGAAGUUUGGGGCAAUAACAGGUCUGUGAUGCCCUUAGAUGUUCUGGGCCGCACACGGGCUACACUGGCGCCUGCAACGAGCAUAUCAGCUGGCCCGAGAGGGUCUUGGCUAAUCUUUUGAACCGGCGCCGUGCUUGGGAUUGACCUUUGCAAUUGUUGGUCAUGCAACGAGGAAUGCCUUGUAAACGCGAGUCAUCAGCUCGCAUUGAAUACGUCCCUGCCCUUUGUACACACCGCCCGUCGCUCCUACCGAUGAAUGUUCCGAUGAAAUUUUCGGAGAGUGCCUGUGAACUUGGCUCUGCCUUGCGAACGGGAAGCUCAAAGUCACUUAAAUCGAACCAUUAA